UACGGGGGGGGCAAGCGUUGUUCGGAAUUACUGGGCGUAAAGGGCUCGUAGGCGGCCAACUAAGUCGGAUGUGAAAUCCCCAGGCUCAACCUGGGAACUGCAUCCGAUACUGGAUGGCUUGAAUUCGGGAGAGGGAUGCAGAAUUCCAGGUGUAGCGGUGAAAUGCAUAGAUAUCUGGAGGAAUACCGGUGGCGAAGGCGGCAUCCUGGACCGACAUUGACGCUGAGGAGCGAAAGCCAGGGGAGCAAACGGG
This 253-nucleotide ribosomal RNA is filed under the name uncultured bacterium. Its description in RNAcentral is "partial 16S ribosomal RNA". It matches the Rfam family "Bacterial small subunit ribosomal RNA", at positions 524 to 776 of the family's 1533-position model. The record is from RNAcentral.